AUACGUAGGGGGCGAGCGUUGUCCGGAAUGAUUGGGCGUAAAGGGCGCGUAGGCGGCCCGGUAAGUCUGGAGUGAAAGUCCUGUUUUUAAGAUGGGAAUUGCUUUGGAUACUGUCGGGCUUGAGUGCAGGAGAGGUAAGUGGAAUUCCCAGUGUAGCGGUGAAAUGCGUAGAGAUUGGAGGAACACCAGUGGCGAAGGCGGCUUACUGGACUGGAAACGACGCCGAGGCGCGAAAGGGUGGGGAGCAAACAGGAUUAGAUACCCUGGUAGUCCACCCCGUAAACGAUGAAUGCUAAGUGUAGGGGGUAUCGACCCCUUCUGUGCCGCAGUCAACACAAUAAGCAUUCCGCCUGGGGAGUACGGCCGCAAGGUUGAAACUCAAAUGAAUUGACGGGG
RNAcentral lists this ribosomal RNA (396 nucleotides) under uncultured bacterium. Its description in RNAcentral is "partial 16S ribosomal RNA". It matches the Rfam family "Bacterial small subunit ribosomal RNA", at positions 523 to 918 of the family's 1533-position model. The record is from RNAcentral.